RNAcentral lists this long non-coding RNA (1111 nucleotides) under Sparus aurata (gilthead seabream). Its description in RNAcentral is "lncRNA (ENSSAUG00010010331.1)". Lineage: Eukaryota; Metazoa; Chordata; Actinopteri; Spariformes; Sparidae. The record is from RNAcentral.
AAAAUACAGUGUGAAUGCUGAAAACUGAAGCGAAAUCUGCUGAACGUACUGCCUGAAAUGCAUAAAACUAUAGGCUGAAUGGUUGGGAUUUUGUAGAAAAAGCAGAAUUUUCCAAUAGCUGGUAAGGCAGAAAGGCUUAAAAGCAAUAGGUUUAAUGGGCUAACAAAGUUGAACAUUUUGAUAGCUGAACAUUAACUCUAACUGAACAUGAAGUUGUAUGUUUGAAGGAGUUGAAAAGGCAGAAACAUAAAUAUCUAAAAAGGUUAAAAAGCUAUAGAGUAACAGGGCUGAAAGAGCUUAAAAGGUGAAAGAAGGCAAAAAAGGUGAAAAGUUGAAGGCUGACGAGGACCAAAAAAGUUUAAAAAGGUGAGAAAAUAUGAAUAGUUGUAGAGUAAGAGGGCUGGAAGAGGUUAAAGUGGUGAUAACAUAUGAAAAGCUGUAGAGUAAGAGGGCUGGCAGAGGUUAAAAAGGUGAAAAAAGGAUGAAAAGGUAAAAAAGUUUAAGGGUGAAAGAGCUCAAAUACUUGAGAAAGGAUGAAAAGGUAAAAAGAUGUAGAGUAAGAGGGUUGGAAGAGGUUAAAAAGGUGAAAAAAGGAUGAAAAGGUAAAAAGUUUAAGGGUGAAAGAGCUCAAAUAGGUGAGAAAAGGAUGAAAAGGUGAAAAGAUGUAGAGUAAGAGGGUGGAAGAGGUUAAAAAGGUGAAAAGAAUAUGAAAAUCUGUAGAUUAAGAGGGCUGGGAGAGGUUAAAAAGGUGAAUAAAGGAUGACAAGCAGUAGAUUAAGAGGCCUGGAAGAGGUUAAAAGGUGAAAAUAUAUGAACAGCUGUAGAGUCAGAGGGCUGGAAGAGGUUAAAAAGGUGAACAAAGGAUGAAAAGCUGCUGAGUAAGAGGGUUGGAAGAGGUUAAAAGGUGAAAAUAGGAUGAAAAGGUAAAAGAUGUAGAGUAAGAGGGCUGGAAGAAGUUAAAAUGGUGAAAAAAGACCUUCUUACUCUACAACUUUUCCUACUCUUUCACCUUCUUAAGCUCUUCAAUCCCUUCUUACUCUACAACUUUUCAUGUUUUCACCCUUUUAACCUCCUCCAGCCCUCUUACUCUACUGCUUGUCAUCCUUUUUAG